AGGAAGUAAAAGUCGUAACAAGGUUUCCGUAGGUGAACCUGCGGAAGGAUCAUUACCGAGUUAGGGUCCCCCGAGGGCCCGACCUCCCAACCCUGUGUCUAUCCUACCUCAGCGUUGCUUCGGCGGACCGGACUCGACCACAACUGGUCUUGACCGCCGGGCCCCCGUGGCCGGGAGAGCCGUCCGCCGAUGGCCACAUCACACAAACUCUUGGAAAAUUGUGUCGUCUAAACUGAAAAUAUCAAUCAACACAAAACUUUCAACAACGGAUCUCUUGGUUCGGGCAUCGAUGAAGAACGCAGCGAAAUGCGAUAAGUAAUGCGAAUUGCAGAAUUUCCGUGAGUCAUCGAAUCUUUGAACGCACAUUGCGCCCAUUGGUAUUCCGAUGGGCAUGCCUGUUCGAGCGUCAUUAUCCUCCCUCAAACCCCCGGUUUGGUGUUGGACCGACGUUGUGGGGCUGUCCACAACGGGUCUCAAAGACAAUGACGGCGUCCGUGGGACCCUCUUCGCAACGAGCUUCUCGGAGCACGCGUGGAGUUUCAAGGACCUUCCGGGCCGGUCUUCCUUUUUGUACGCCUCCAAGGUUGACCUCGGAUCGGGUAGGAAUACCCGCUGAACUUAAGCAUAUCAAUAAGC
RNAcentral lists this ribosomal RNA (636 nucleotides) under uncultured Knufia. Its description in RNAcentral is "eukaryotic LSU rRNA". The stretch from base 255 to 409 matches the Rfam family "5.8S ribosomal RNA". Lineage: Eukaryota; Fungi; Ascomycota; Eurotiomycetes; Chaetothyriales; Chaetothyriaceae. The record is from RNAcentral.